AGUGUUCAGCUUUAGCCAUGUAAUUGUGAUAAGAAUAUGAUUUGUCAUGUUGAACGCCAUGACCAAGGGAAUGUGUCAAUGUCUUCCUUGAAUGACAUAGGUUCCAAAAUCAUUUUUCAUGAUUUGAUUUUCAAGUUCCUCUGAAGACACUGUGAUUAUCCUACCCAUGGGAGUGAGUAAAGUCCAUAGAGGGUUAUGAGAUGCCCUUCAAGAGAACACAGUGAUCCAGAAAAGAUGGUUGUUGCAGUCACCCUAGUAACAAGGGUAGGGAAAGUACUGUUCAAGGUCCCUGUGUCCUGGGAUUGCUUGCUUACUAUAUGCAGUGACAUGCUUGAGUACCAGACUGCUGAGAAAGAAGCACAGGUAACUUGCAGGCACCCACUUGAUGAGGAUCAGAGCCUUGGGAUGAUAUUCUUCCCUCAGUUUCAAUCUGGUAUGCGGUGGAGUGGAAGCCUCCCACACCAGUGGUGGUUGUCAAUGAAUCGAGCAUGUUGUAUGCUUGCAGAACAUGCUGUAUCCUUUUAGCAUGGUCUUGUUCCUUUUCCCUUCAUGGAUACAGAGUGAUCAAGAAGUUGGUUGAUGUACACUUAUGGAAGGCCAGGGAAAUACCACCAUGGGUACAAGCUGAUCACUAGGCCAGAUGUCUGUAUCCAGGUCAGAAGGAGCCUCUGGCUAACCUGGUAUUAACAUGUUUCAUCACCAGGUAUCCUGCCAAAAGGUCUUGGGAGAUGCUGCUACCCUCAGCCAUGCAACACCUUCUUCUUUACUGAUGUACAUUGUGGGAGGGCACUUGGGCACACUUUGCUUUUCCCCACUGAUUCACCUGUGUGCCAGUGAAGGUGAAAUCUUCCCAGUGGCUGCUGGUAAGUGUCCCAUUUUCAUGUAGGGGAACUGACCCGUAAUGUAGUUUUCAUGUUGGCUAGGUGGAUGGGGAGGCCAGGAUUCUUGCUAACAUCCACUAUGAAUAUUGAGCCUUAGAACUUCUGCAGGUUUCCCUUCAAGUGAGAAAGAAUUCUCUUACCAUAUUUUUUCUAGGAAACACCCCUGAGACUGAGGUGUUAAAGCAAAGGGGCCACAGUCUAACACAGUGACCUCCACAAUACUCACAUGGGGGACUCGCAUGGACUAAAUCAGUAUUCUCUGAUGUCAUUUUCACAGGGACAGUCAUGUCACAGUGAGCAGCACAGUAUAAUCAGGUGGAUGCAUACAGACAUCCAGGUAAGUGUGGGCUUGUGCCCAGGCCACCAAUGAGGUCCUGCCACUUCCACAUGUGUAAGUGACAAAGGUGUGGCUUGGCAUUUGUAGCCCACUGCUUGAUUUGAAGUUGCUCAAGUAAGGAAGGAUGGAAUCCACAGCAAUGCCACUCUCUGGGAGGGGACACUUGGCACAGCUUAGGUGAAAUGGAUGGUAAAAGAGUGAGCACUGAAGAAGACAUGGUGUCUAGGUUUGGGUGCUUGCUGUGUCCCAGCCCGGGGAGCUGUAGCACAGGAGAGUCUGCAGGGGUCCACUUAGGAGAGGUUUGACUGUGGGGACAGGAUUGUUUUCAUGCAGUUAUCCCAGCAGCCAGGUACAUUUCCAGUGUGAGUCAGUGGUUUUUGUGGGAAUUGAAAUGCUCAUUGACUCAACACUGACUUUGUCUUCUCCAUGUUUUCUGCAGGUUCCUUCAAGGGAAGAUGAGCAGACUAUGGCUGGAACUGCAUGCAGGUGUCAGAUUGGCUAUUGAUGGUGAACCUCUGAUUCUGCCCUCUUCAUCGACAAGUGUGGUGCUCUGUGCCUUCUUGCUGUCACGAGGAAGCAUCAGAUGCUAUUGGUUCCCUUCCAGGAGAGAUGAUGUGUAUUUCACACUUGUCCCACUAGGGGAGUAAGCAGGGCAUGAGGUCACUGUGACAGAGUGGGUCCCUGAGAUGGGGAUUGGAGUGAAUUGGGAGGUAUCUCCUCAAAGGCAUCCAUUACCAUUGCAUGGCUAGUUUGUUGACAAGAAGGAGGGAGGAGCGUGGUGGUGGUGAUGGAACCUGAAUGAUAGGAUGACAUGGGAGUUGUACAGGUAGACACGGAGGAGACCACAAAGGGUAGAAUCUCUUGUGCUUCUUUUCCAGUGAGGGAGUCCACAGCUCAUGGUGAGCCCUGAACAUCACCAGGAUCUGUAUAAGGACAGCCAUGGACCUUCACUGCAGCAUAGGCAGGGAAUAUCCAUGGCCUUCACUAAGUGAUAUUGGGGUCCCUGAUGUGGAGUCGUGGGGUAGUGGGGUUGCUGUGACUUUGCUUUAGGUUCUGGAGCCCAGGAGAGCAAUGAAGGAAGAACUGAGCCAAUCCACUGACCCUGAAUUUUUCCUUCGUGUAUAGUGAAGUAAAAUGAAUGUUGAUCUUCUCUACAUCCUUGGAGUGCUUAUUCUUUGGUCCAGUGGUGUUGUGAUGGACCACCCUGCCCAGGAGAAAGCACAGAAUUCUUUGCAGGUCAGUAGUUGAUGAUAAUGAGUCUCAGGAUGAGAGUUUUGCACUCAAAUUGCUUCUGGUAUCAGAGUGAAGAGAAAGCCUUUGUGCCAGUGGUGAUGCCAGAGCACAGCCCAGUGUUCUUGCAGAGCAAAGGAUAAGGUUUUAG
RNAcentral lists this long non-coding RNA (2599 nucleotides) under Heterocephalus glaber (naked mole-rat). RNAcentral's name for it is "lncRNA (ENSHGLG00100034667.1)". The record is from RNAcentral. Lineage: Eukaryota; Metazoa; Chordata; Mammalia; Rodentia; Bathyergidae.